GGCCAGGUGGCAGAGUGGUUAUGCAGCGGCCUGCAAAGCCGUGUACGCCGGUUCGAUUCCGACCCUGGCCU
The sequence is a transfer RNA, 71 nucleotides long. It matches the Rfam family "tRNA". Rfam says of the family: Transfer RNA (tRNA) molecules are approximately 80 nucleotides in length. Their secondary structure includes four short double-helical elements and three loops (D, anti-codon, and T loops). The record is from Rfam.